GUUUUACAUUUUUAAUCAAUAUAUCUAAACAUUCACUUGCUUGUUAAAAAUCCAACUAAAUUUUAUCAAACGUGACUCUAAUUUCUUGGUUCGAUCUUCCAACUUUCUAAUCUUACGUGGAAGUCCACACACAAAAUCUUGUGCACGCCUCGCCUCCGUUGUCAAGCCUUGAAGCUUUUCCAAUUCCCAUCUUAUUAUAAAAAAUUCUAAUAUUUCAGCAUAAUCACGAGAUGUGUAAACACCCUGAUUUUGGGAAAUGGUAGAAAAGUACU
RNAcentral lists this unclassified non-coding RNA (272 nucleotides) under Hevea brasiliensis (rubber tree). The record is from RNAcentral. Lineage: Eukaryota; Viridiplantae; Streptophyta; Magnoliopsida; Malpighiales; Euphorbiaceae.